RNAcentral lists this ribosomal RNA (348 nucleotides) under uncultured bacterium. Its description in RNAcentral is "bacterial SSU rRNA". It matches the Rfam family "Bacterial small subunit ribosomal RNA", at positions 8 to 350 of the family's 1533-position model. The record is from RNAcentral.
AGAGUUUGAUCAUGGCUCAGGAUGAACGCUAGCUACAGGCUUAACACAUGCAAGUCGAGGGGAAACGACAUCGAAAGCUUGCUUUUGAUGGGCGUCGACCGGCGCACGGGUGAGUAACGCGUAUCCAACCUGCCCACCACUUGGGGAUAACCUUGCGAAAGUAAGACUAAUACCCAAUGACGUCUCUAGAAGACAUCUGAAGGAGAUUAAAGAUUUAUCGGUGAUGGAUGGGGAUGCGUCUGAUUAGCUUGUGGCGGGGUACGCCACAGGCGACGAUCAGUAGGGGUUCUGAGAGGAAGGUCCCCCACAUUGGAACUGAGACACGGUCCAAACUCCGUACGGGAGGCA